AAGUCAGUGCUGAUCAAGAAUUCUGAAAGCUUGGUCUUCAUCCAGACAGACAAACCCAUCUACAAGCCUGGACAGACAGUUCAGUUUCGGAUCGUCUCUCUGGACAAAGACUUCUACCCGCUGAAUGAGAAGUUUCCCUUUGUCUACGUUCAGGUGAGUGGAUAACUACAACAUUAUUUGCAGAAGAACGUGCAGGCACAGAGGUACCAGACCCCAGUAGUGGUGUUUUCAGGCUGAGGGGCAAGGGAAAGAUCACAGGCAUGUGACCUUUUCCCUUUGGUUAAAGGAAGGCUGAAUAGUCAGGCAUCAAAAUAACUUCCAACAAUGGUUCUUUGAUCACAGAAUGAGCUGUAAGAGAAAACUAAUUGAUCAUUACAAGCCAUGCUGUGAACAGAACUACACUUGGCUAGAGGUCAUCAAAAUGGCUUAUUGCUCUUCCCAGUCAGAACUGAGAGUUUCUGUCUGCCAAGUGUGGUUCAAAUUAGAGACCAGUGUUAAAUAAGCUAUCAAAACCAAAGAAACAAAAUUAGGUAAGUAGACAUUCCCUGUCUUCCCAAGCAUGUUCUUUUUGUUUGCUGUUUUUUUAAAUGGUUGAACUUCAGUGGCAGGCAAAAGUUAGAAAGGAAGAUGUUUGAAUGAUU
Non-coding RNA from Cyanistes caeruleus (blue tit), 641 nucleotides. NCBI's taxonomy places the organism in Eukaryota, Metazoa, Chordata, Aves, Passeriformes, Paridae. The record is from RefSeq and is a predicted model, not a curated record.